RNAcentral lists this ribosomal RNA (513 nucleotides) under uncultured bacterium. RNAcentral's name for it is "partial 16S ribosomal RNA". It matches the Rfam family "Bacterial small subunit ribosomal RNA", at positions 28 to 523 of the family's 1533-position model. The record is from RNAcentral.
GACGAACGCUGGCGGCGUGCCUAAUACAUGCAAGUUGAGCGCUGAAGGUUGGUACUUGUACCGACUGGAUGAGCAGCGAACGGGUGAGUAACGCGUGGGGAAUCUGCCUUUGAGCGGGGGACAACAUUUGGAAACGAAUGCUAAUACCGCAUAAAAACUUUAAACACAAGUUUUAAGUUUGAAAGAUGCAAUUGCAUCACUCAAAGAUGAUCCCGCGUUGUAUUAGCUAGUUGGUGAGGUAAAGGCCCACCAAGGCGAUGAUACAUAGCCGACAUGAUAGGGUGAUCGGCCACAUGGGGACUGAGACACGGCCCAAACUCCUACGGGAGGCAGCAGUAGGGAAUCUUCGGCAAUGGACGAAAGUCUGACCGAGCAACGCCGCGUGAGUGAAGAAGGUUUUCGGAUCGUAAAACUCUGUUGGUAGAGAAGAACGUUGGUGAGAGUGGAAAGCUCAUCAAGUGACGGUAACUACCCAGAAAGGGACGGCUAACUACGUGCCAGCCGCCGCCGUAA